UGGGGAAUAUUGGACAAUGGGCGCAAGCCUGAUCCAGCCAUGCCGCGUGAGUGAUGAAGGCCCUAGGGUUGUAAAGCUCUUUCGCCAGGGACGAUAAUGACGGUACCUGGAUAAGAAGCCCCGGCUAACUUCGUGCCAGCAGCCGCGGUAAUACGAAGGGGGCUAGCGUUGUUCGGAAUCACUGGGCGUAAAGCGCACGUAGGCGGAUCUUUAAGUCAGGGGUGAAAUCCCGAGGCUCAACCUCGGAACUGCCUUUGAUACUGGAGGUCUCGAGUCCGGGAGAGGUGAGUGGAACUGCGAGUGUAGAGGUGAAAUUCGUAGAUAUUCGCAAGAACACCAGUGGCGAAGGCGGCUCACUGGCCCGGUACUGACGCUGAGGUGCGAAAAGCGUGGGGAGCAAAACAGGAUUAGAUACCCUGGUAGUCCACGCCGUAAACUAUGGAUGCUAGCCGUUGGGCAGCUUGCUGUUCAGUGGCGCAGCUAACGCUUUAAGCAUCCCGCCUGGGGGAGUACGGUCGCAAGAUUAAAACUCAAAGGAAUUGACGGGGUCAUAGCUGUUUCCU
RNAcentral lists this ribosomal RNA (563 nucleotides) under uncultured bacterium. RNAcentral describes it as "partial 16S ribosomal RNA". It matches the Rfam family "Bacterial small subunit ribosomal RNA", at positions 355 to 1375 of the family's 1533-position model. The record is from RNAcentral.